This is a small nucleolar RNA of Aplysia californica (California sea hare), 92 nucleotides long. RefSeq annotates it as small nucleolar SNORD12/SNORD106. The record is from RefSeq and is a predicted model, not a curated record. The transcript has a single exon. Lineage: Eukaryota; Metazoa; Mollusca; Gastropoda; Aplysiida; Aplysiidae.
UGCCUUGGCUGUGAUGACUAUUUUUUUCCCCAUCUUAUCGACAAAUGAAGAUGUCAUUGCUGUUUCAAGCCAUUUUGAUCUGAGCUGAGGUG